Molecule: long non-coding RNA, 926 nt
Filed under: Betta splendens (Siamese fighting fish)
Lineage: Eukaryota; Metazoa; Chordata; Actinopteri; Anabantiformes; Osphronemidae
Description: lncRNA (ENSBSLG00000005240.1)
Source: RNAcentral
GCAUUUAGCAUUUAACAUUUACAUUUAGACUUUUGCACAUUUAACUAAAUGUGAGAAAACAUGUGUCAUUUAGUUAAAUGUGAGAAAACUAGUUAUAGGGGCUCCUUUUACAUUCGGCACCCCAUAGUCAGUUACGUGCUUUUAAUCAUUUCCUGACGUUUCUAUUUGACUUUAGUGCUGAUCAGACCUAUUUGGUGUGGAUAUGCUGAAGGUAAAUGUACAAGCUCAAUGUACAACAUCAUUGUUCACCUUCUAUAUCAAAUUACUCAAUGUAUUUUUCUGUCUGUGUUUUUCUUUGUAGCAUUAGUACAGUAUCCAUAGCCACUAAACCCGAUACUGGAUGUGAAUAUUUGAUGGAAUACUGCCUUACUGUUGCUGGAAAGCACUUUAAAAAUCCUUUAUUCUUUUAUUCCAGUGUUCUCCAAAGCUGCAGCUUCAAUUCACUCCAGCUUUUUUAUUAUUGGGGUGGUUUGUAAAAUAUGUCUGAUGAUUGUCCUGCUUCUUUGGUGUUGCUACAGAAUAUUUAAAGGUUCCUGCUUUAUCAGGUUGGUACAGUCUUCUUUCACUCUGAACAUAACAGAGCAUUAAACACACCCAUGUAUUACAUGUUGGGUUCCAGCAGGCCUCAGAGCACCAAUCAGAGCUCUGCUACAGGUCCAAUGACCACCCAGGAAGAAACUCUACACAGUACAUAUGCUUCGCUUCUUCAUGGUCAGUCUUUAACCUAAUUUCCUGUCAAUUAACAUUGUAUAUUAAAAGUUUCAAUCCAUCCUGGUUAAUGUAUCAUUUGUUUGUAGGCGAUUCUUCUGUUUAUGAAUCAAUCUGUCAUCCUGGAAACCCUGGAAAUGGUGCGGUUUGCACACUGAUCAGCUAGAAGGAUCUUUAUUGUUACAAUAAAUGAUUUAUUGACUAUUUGUGAAAGUCCA